UACGAAGGGGGCUAGCGUUGUUCGGAAUUACUGGGCGUAAAGCGUGCGCAGGCGGCUUUGCAAGACAGAUGUGAAAUCCCCGGGCUUAACCUGGGAACUGCAUUUGUGACUGCAUGGCUGGAGUGCGGCAGAGGGGGAUGGAAUUCCGCGUGUAGCAGUGAAAUGCGUAGAUAUGCGGAGGAACACCGAUGGCGAAGGCAAUCCCCUGGGCCUGCACUGACGCUCAUGCACGAAAGCGUGGGGAGCGAACGGG
RNAcentral lists this ribosomal RNA (253 nucleotides) under uncultured bacterium. RNAcentral describes it as "partial 16S ribosomal RNA". It matches the Rfam family "Bacterial small subunit ribosomal RNA", at positions 524 to 776 of the family's 1533-position model. The record is from RNAcentral.